This 406-nucleotide ribosomal RNA is filed under the name uncultured bacterium. RNAcentral's name for it is "partial 16S ribosomal RNA". It matches the Rfam family "Bacterial small subunit ribosomal RNA", at positions 29 to 526 of the family's 1533-position model. The record is from RNAcentral.
AUUGAACGCUGGCGGCAGGCUUAACACAUGCAAGUCGAGCGAGCGGCGGACGGGUGAGUAAUGUCUGGGAAACUGCCUGAUGGAGGGGGAUAACUACUGGAAACGGUAGCUAAUACCGCAUACCAUCAGAUGUGCCCAGAUGGGAUUAGCUAGUAGGUGGGGGAAUGGCUCACCUAGGCGACGAUCCCUAGCUGGUCUGAGAGGAUGACCAGCCACGCUGGGCCUGGGACAGGGUCCAGACUCCUAGGGGAGGCAGCGGUGGAGAAUAUUGCACAAUGGGCGCGAGCCUGAUGCGACCAUGGGGCGUGUUUGAGUAAGGCCUUCGGGUUGUAAAGCACUUUCAGCGAGGAGGCGUUACUCGGAGAGGAAGCACCGGCUAACUCCGUGCCAGCAGCCGCGGUAAUAC